Molecule: ribosomal RNA, 606 nt
Filed under: Stenotrophomonas sp. N-QB-2066
Lineage: Bacteria; Pseudomonadati; Pseudomonadota; Gammaproteobacteria; Lysobacterales; Lysobacteraceae
Description: bacterial SSU rRNA
Rfam family: Bacterial small subunit ribosomal RNA
Source: RNAcentral
UGCAUCGGAAUCUACUCUUUCGUGGGGGAUAACGUAGGGAAACUUACGCUAAUACCGCAUACGACCUACGGGUGAAAGCCGGGGACCUUCGGGCCUGGCGCGAAUGAAUGAGCCGAUGCCCGAUUAGCUAGUUGGCGGGGUAAGAGCCCACCAAGGCGACGAUCGGUAGCUGGUCUGAGAGGAUGAUCAGCCACACUGGAACUGAGACACGGUCCAGACUCCUACGGGAGGCAGCAGUGGGGAAUAUUGGACAAUGGGCGCAAGCCUGAUCCAGCCAUACCGCGUGGGUGAAGAAGGCCUUCGGGUUGUAAAGCCCUUUUGUUGGGAAAGAAAAGCAGCCGGUUAAUACCCGGUUGUUCUGACGGUACCCAAAGAAUAAGCACCGGCUAACUUCGUGCCAGCAGCCGCGGUAAUACGAAGGGUGCAAGCGUUACUCGGAAUUACUGGGCGUAAAGCGUGCGUAGGUGGUUGUUUAAGUCUGUCGUGAAAGCCCUGGGCUCAACCUGGGAAUUGCGAUGGAAACUGGGCGACUAGAGUGUGGCAGAGGAUAGUGGAAUUCCUGGUGUAGCAGUGAAAUGCGUAGAGAUCAGGAGGAACAUCCGUGGC